Molecule: ribosomal RNA, 446 nt
Filed under: uncultured bacterium
Lineage: Bacteria
Description: bacterial SSU rRNA
Rfam family: Bacterial small subunit ribosomal RNA
Source: RNAcentral
UGGGGAAUAUUGGACAAUGGGCGAAAGCCUGAUCCAGCAAUGCCGCGUGAGUGAUGAAGGCCUUAGGGUUGUAAAGCUCUUUUACCAGGGAUGAUAAUGACAGUACCUGGAGAAUAAGCUCCGGCUAACUCCGUGCCAGCAGCCGCGGUAAUACGGAGGGAGCUAGCGUUGUUCGGAAUUACUGGGCGUAAAGCGUACGUAGGCGGUGACUCAAGUCAGAGGUGAAAGCCUGGAGCUCAACUCCAGAACUGCCUUUGAACUAGGUCGCUAGAAUCACGGAGAGGUGAGUGGAAUUCCGAGUGUAGAGGUGAAAUUCGUAGAUAUUCGGAAGAACACCAGUGGCGAAGGCGGCUCACUGGACGUGUAUUGACGCUGAGGUACGAAAGCGUGGGGAGCAAACAGGAUUAGAUACCCCCGUAGUCCCUGAGCGGGCUGGCAAGGCGCAU